Molecule: ribosomal RNA, 495 nt
Filed under: uncultured bacterium
Lineage: Bacteria
Description: bacterial SSU rRNA
Rfam family: Bacterial small subunit ribosomal RNA
Source: RNAcentral
GAUCAUGGCUCAGAUUGAACGCUGGCGGCAUGCCUUACACAUGCAAGUCGAACGGCAGCGGACCUUCGGGUGCCGGCGAGUGGCGAACGGGUGAGUAAUAUAUCGGAACGUACCUUUCAGUGGGGGAUAACUACGCGAAAGCGUAGCUAAUACCGCAUACGCCCUGAGGGGGAAAGUGGGGGAUCUUAGGACCUCACGUGAUUGGAGUGGCCGAUGUCAGAUUAGCUAGUUGGUGAGGUAAAGGCUCACCAAGGCGACGAUCUGUAGCGGGUCUGAGAGGAUGAUCCGCCACACUGGGACUGAGACACGGCCCAGACUCCUACGGGAGGCAGCAGUGGGGAAUUUUGGACAAUGGGCGCAAGCCUGAUCCAGCCAUGCCGCGUGAGUGAAGAAGGCCUUCGGGUUGUAAAGCUCUUUCGCAAGGGAAGAAAACGGCAAGGUUAAUACCUUUGUCGGCUGACGGUACCUUGACAAGAAGCACCGGCUAACUACGUG